Molecule: ribosomal RNA, 566 nt
Filed under: Sphingomonas sp. HS412
Lineage: Bacteria; Pseudomonadati; Pseudomonadota; Alphaproteobacteria; Sphingomonadales; Sphingomonadaceae
Description: bacterial SSU rRNA
Rfam family: Bacterial small subunit ribosomal RNA
Source: RNAcentral
GACGCUGGCGGCAUGCCUAAUACAUGCAAGUCGAACGAGAUCUUCGGAUCUAGUGGCGCACGGGUGCGUAACGCGUGGGAAUCUGCCCUUGGGUUCGGAAUAACAGUUGGAAACGACUGCUAAUACCGGAUGAUGACGAAAGUCCAAAGAUUUAUCGCCCAAGGAUGAGCCCGCGUAGGAUUAGCUAGUUGGUGGGGUAAAGGCCUACCAAGGCGACGAUCCUUAGCUGGUCUGAGAGGAUGAUCAGCCACACUGGGACUGAGACACGGCCCAGACUCCUACGGGAGGCAGCAGUAGGGAAUAUUGGACAAUGGGGGCAACCCUGAUCCAGCAAUGCCGCGUGAGUGAUGAAGGCCUUAGGGUUGUAAAGCUCUUUUACCCGGGAUGAUAAUGACAGUACCGGGAGAAUAAGCCCCGGCUAACUCCGUGCCAGCAGCCGCGGUAAUACGGAGGGGGCUAGCCGUUGUUCGGAAUUACUGGGCGUAAAGCGCACGUAGGCGGCGAUUUAAGUCAGAGGUGAAGCCCGGGCUNACCCGGACUGCUUGAACUGGAUUGUUGAUCCGGAA